AAUCUCAGUUCAGACUGCAGGCUGCAACUCGCCUGCACGAAGUCGGAAUUGCUAGUAAUCGUAGGUCAGCAUACUACGGUGAAUACGUUCCCGGGCCUUGUACACACCGCCCGUCAAACCAUGAGAGUUGGCAACACCCGAAGCCGGUGACCAAACCAAUAAGGAAGGAGCCGUCGAAGGCAGGUCUGAUGACUGGGGUGAAGUCGUAACAAGGUACC
This 218-nucleotide ribosomal RNA is filed under the name uncultured bacterium. Its description in RNAcentral is "partial 16S ribosomal RNA". It matches the Rfam family "Bacterial small subunit ribosomal RNA", at positions 1284 to 1500 of the family's 1533-position model. The record is from RNAcentral.